This 253-nucleotide ribosomal RNA is filed under the name uncultured bacterium. Its description in RNAcentral is "partial 16S ribosomal RNA". It matches the Rfam family "Archaeal small subunit ribosomal RNA", at positions 474 to 727 of the family's 1478-position model. The record is from RNAcentral.
UACCCGCAGCACAAGUGGUGGUCAUUAUUAUUGGGCCUAAAGCGUCCGUAGCUGGCCUGUUAGAUGCCUGGGUAAAUCGAUGCGCUUAACAUAUCGAAUUCCGGGUAGACCGGCAGGCUCGAGACCGGGAGAGGUGUAGGCUACUCGGGGGGUAGGGGUAAAAUCCUGUAAUCCUUCGGGGAGGACCAGUGGCGAAGGCGCUACACUAGAACGGCUCUGACAGUGAGGGACGAAGCCCUGGGGCGCAAACCGG